AUGGAUUUUAGUCCUUCCAUUUUAUGUUGGAAUGUGAGAGGUUUGAACAGCGGUGCGAAGCGGGAUGCGACUCGAGAGUUUGUCACUAGUGUGCGUGCGAACAUUGUAUGUCUUCAAGAGACAAAACUGGAUGUAAUUGACCGCUUUACGGUAAUACAAUGCCUUGGGCCAUCCUUUGAUGGCUUCGCCUACUUGCCGGCGUUGGAGACUAGAGGAGGUAUUCUCGUAGCCUGGGACUCUUCAGCG
This 246-nucleotide ribosomal RNA is filed under the name Triticum aestivum (bread wheat). RNAcentral describes it as "partial small subunit ribosomal RNA". Lineage: Eukaryota; Viridiplantae; Streptophyta; Magnoliopsida; Poales; Poaceae. The record is from RNAcentral.